AAAAUGUAGUUGCAAUCAACGUCUGGGAAAACUUAAUAUUUACAACUUUCAACAACGGAUCUCUUGGUUCUGGCAUCGAUGAAGAACGCAGCGAAAUGCGAUAAGUAGUGUGAAUUGCAGAAUUCAGUGAAUCAUCGAAUCUUUGAACGCACAUUGCGCCCCUUGGUAUUCCAUGGGGCAUGCCUGUUCGAGCGUCAUUUGUACCUUCAAGCUCUGCUUGGUGUUGGGUGUUUGUCUCGCCUCUGCGUGUAGACUCGCCUCAAAACAAUUGGCAGCCGGCGUAUUGAUUUCGGAGCGCAGUACAUCUCGCGCUUUGCACUCAUAACGACGACGUCCAAAAGUACAUUUUUACACUCUUGACCUCGGAUCAGGUAGGGAUACCCGCUGAACUUAAGCAUAUCAAUAAGCGGAGGA
Molecule: ribosomal RNA, 414 nt
Filed under: Didymellaceae sp. nc_besc_342b
Lineage: Eukaryota; Fungi; Ascomycota; Dothideomycetes; Pleosporales; Didymellaceae
Description: eukaryotic LSU rRNA
Rfam family: 5.8S ribosomal RNA (bases 44-197)
Source: RNAcentral